Molecule: transfer RNA, 76 nt
Filed under: bacterium
Lineage: Bacteria
Description: tRNA-Asn
Rfam family: tRNA
About the family: Transfer RNA (tRNA) molecules are approximately 80 nucleotides in length. Their secondary structure includes four short double-helical elements and three loops (D, anti-codon, and T loops).
Source: RNAcentral
UCCCCUGUAAUUCAACUGGUAGAAUGCCACACUGUUAAUGUGGAAGUUGCAAGUUCGAGUCUUGCUGGGGGAGCCA